This 254-nucleotide ribosomal RNA is filed under the name uncultured bacterium. Its description in RNAcentral is "partial 16S ribosomal RNA". It matches the Rfam family "Bacterial small subunit ribosomal RNA", at positions 524 to 776 of the family's 1533-position model. The record is from RNAcentral.
CACGUAGGGGGCAAGCGUUGUCCGGAUUUAUUGGGCGUAAAGAGCUCGUAGGCGGUUCGAUAAGUCGGGUGUGAAACCUCCAGGCUCAACCUGGAGACGCCACCCGAUACUGUUGUGACUAGAGUCCAGUAGGGGAGCGUGGAAUUCCUGGUGUAGCGGUGAAAUGCGCAGAUAUCAGGAGGAACACCAGUGGCGAAGGCGGCGCUCUGGGCUGGAACUGACGCUGAGGAGCGAAAGCGUGGGGAGCGAACAGG